GCUUUAUUAUAGACAUUUGGAAUGGCGCAUUAAUGAGCCUUUGGUUUCUUUGUAGGCCAUCCUUGGGUUCAGGUUGAUGGAGUGGCACCCGAUAAGCCUCUUGACCCUGCAGUCUUAAGCCACUUGACACACUUUUCUGCCAUGAACAAGCUUGAGAAAAUAGCUCUUCGCGUAAAUGUUAACUAUGGUAUCAGAAGUCACUGCUACAUAGGGCCUCUGUAACUGGACCUCAAUUUGAGGUGGAAUAAGCUGCGAGAUGCCAUUCCUCCUUAAAUUGAAUUCCCUAGGUAACUAUAGACGUAGUUAGGGGAUACCUGCACAAGUCAUUGUCUGCCACUAUGGAGUUCAUAAUUGAGAGUGAGAAAGCUAGUCUCCUUGAUUAACCAGUGUCUCCUGAACUGGUCAUAUUUUACAUUACUCAGGACACGCAAAGAGAUUCAUUACUUCCUGAACUAAGAUCAGGUUGUUUCUUGUUCUCAUUUCCCCUCUCUUUCUAGUUUUUAUGAAUUACAAAGGGCUAAAGUAACAUUUUUCCAGCUUCCAUGUCCUUACGAACCUUGUAGUUAUAGUUUUUUUAAACACUGAUAAGCAUGAAGGUUGAUAAAAGUCGAAGGGCCUGCUGAUACAUUUUUAGCAAAACGGUGAUCAUUAUUGUUUUGCAUUUGGUAGGGACCUCUUAAAGUUAGCUCAUUGCAACACUAAGAUUGUCAUAUUGACAAUAGUUGUUGCUGACUAGAUGGUUUCCAAGUAACUGGUAAAAUUGGCACUCAGUGCUCAAUGUUUGAUCCUCUUAAGGGCGAGCUAACAGUUGAAGUGUCUAUAGUUCCUAUUCAUUCCAUUGAUAUCCACUUGCUUCAUGUAGAGUCAAUUCUGGUCGAAGAAAGGAUCAUAACUGAAACCUCUUUAAUUCAGACUGCGCAGGCAUGCAACAUUUCAUAUUUUAGAGUCAAUUCUAGUCAAUUCAUUCUUUUGGACUAAAUAUUAGACUAAUUAAUUUACGAUUUGUAGUUAUACUUUUUGGAUGUUUAAAGUUGUAUUUUAGAGAUUAGUGAACCUUAUGAUUUGGAUUCUUUUCUUGGUUUGUAUAUUUGAGGUUGUUAUCAGCUU
Molecule: non-coding RNA, 1107 nt
Organism: Camellia sinensis
Lineage: Eukaryota; Viridiplantae; Streptophyta; Magnoliopsida; Ericales; Theaceae
Source: RefSeq, a predicted model, not a curated record